UACGGGGGGGCAAGCGUUGUUCGGAAUUCCUGGGCGUAAAGGGCUCGUAGGCGGCCAACUAAGUCGGAUGUGAAAUCCCCAGGCUCAACCUGGGAACUGCAUCCGAUACUGGAUGGCUUGAAUUCGGGAGAGGGAUGCAGAAUUCCAGGUGUAGCGGUGAAAUGCGUAGAUAUCUGGAGGAAUACCGGUGGCGAAGGCGGCAUCCUGGACCGACAUUGACGCUGAGGAGCGAAAGCCAGGGGAGCAAACGGG
This 252-nucleotide ribosomal RNA is filed under the name uncultured bacterium. RNAcentral's name for it is "partial 16S ribosomal RNA". It matches the Rfam family "Bacterial small subunit ribosomal RNA", at positions 524 to 776 of the family's 1533-position model. The record is from RNAcentral.